GCGCUGAACGCUGCGAUCCGGCUUUCGGUGUUCCGACGACGCUGGUACGACGAGCAGAUCCACCCGACGGUCGUGUCCAAGGCGCUGUUCAAGCUCAUCCGGACGCACGGCCUGGCCAAGGUGUCGUAUACGCUCGUCUCGAUGAAUGUCCCACAAGCCAUCCUCAAGCAAAUCAUGCAGGGGUGGUUCCAGUUUGCCCAGAACUUCAGGGUGGAGGGUUCUGACUUCUAAAACGGCGUUGUUUGACUUUGAGGGAGAGGGAGGUGGAGGAAGGUGUUUUGUUUUCUGUAGCUUCGCCCUUCUUUCCGCCCCGCACCCCGUCGCU
RNAcentral lists this unclassified non-coding RNA (325 nucleotides) under Rhodotorula toruloides. Lineage: Eukaryota; Fungi; Basidiomycota; Microbotryomycetes; Sporidiobolales; Sporidiobolaceae. The record is from RNAcentral.